AUGACUUUCCUUUCUCAGUUCCUGGGGCUGCUGAUGCUCCGGAUCGCUGGAUCCAAUGGGGAAAUCGUGAUGACACAGACCCCACUCUCCCGGCCCAUCACCCCUGGAGAGCCGGUCUCCAUCUCCUGCAGGGCCAGUCAGAGCCUCCUACACAGUAAUGGAAACACCUAUAUAAAUUGGUACCUGCAGAAGCCAGGCCAGUCUCCACAGGGCCUGAUCUAUAGGGUUUCCAACUGUUACUCCUGGGUCUCAGACAGGUUCAGUGGCAGCGGGUCAGAGACAGAUUUCACCCUGAGAAUCAGCAGGGUGGAGGCUGAGGAUGCUGGAGUUUAUUACUGCCAACAAACUCUACAAAAUCCUCCCACGGUGGUCCAGGCCUGCACACAAACCUCCUUCCUCUGGGUGGUGCAGCUGCCCAUGGGUGGUGAUAGUUUGGGGAAGAAGCAGGUUUAG
Molecule: non-coding RNA, 453 nt
Organism: Zalophus californianus (California sea lion)
Lineage: Eukaryota; Metazoa; Chordata; Mammalia; Carnivora; Otariidae
Source: the annotation of a RefSeq genome assembly